CUCAUUCUGUGGAGAAACUGUAAACAGCAAAGAGUAGAAGGAAAUGGCGAUUUCGCUCUCCCUCUGUUCAAAUAUUCUUCGUCAGAGACAGAGACACACGCCUGAAUCGGUGAGACCGGUUCCCAUACGGAUAUUAACAGUAGGGAAAAAGAGAUCCCGUGGGGUACAACUCAUUGUCGAUGAGUACAUUGAGAAGCUGAAAUACUACUGCAGCGCGGAUGAUAUCCAAAUCAGGUCAAAUCCUAAAAAUGCUCGCGAUGUGAAAGCUCAGGUUGAAAAUGAAGAUACAGCAGUCAUGGGUCUCAUCCGGCCUGACGAUUGGGUUGUGAUGUUGGAUGAGCAUGGGUUAGACCUUGGAUCCAUACAGAUGGCUGAGUUACUCAGAGAUGUCGGGAAUACAGGAGCUGCAAGGUUAUCAUUUUGCAUCGGUGGACCUUAUGGUCAUGGAGAGCAAUUGAGAAAACGUGCUAACAUAUCGAUCAAGUUGUCUUCAAUGGUCUUAAAUCACCAAAUUGCUCUACUUGUGCUCAUGGAACAACUUUACCGGUUGCACAAACAGAUCGAGGAGUUUUGCUAACUAAAGACAAACAUAAAGAGGUAGCUGAAGUUGCUCAAGAAUUGCAGAAAUAUUGUGUUUCAGAGCCAGUAAAAUGCCCUCUUAUCUUUGGAGUUUAAUCAAAUGCUGUCCAGAGUGGGACGUAGUGUACUGUUCAAAUCCAACCUCACCUGGGGGUGGCUAUAGGACUGCAUUCGGCCGGUUAUUUUUCAAAGCAAAGGAAA
Molecule: RNA transcript, 780 nt
Organism: Vitis riparia (riverbank grape)
Lineage: Eukaryota; Viridiplantae; Streptophyta; Magnoliopsida; Vitales; Vitaceae
Gene name: putative RNA methyltransferase At5g10620
Exons: 7
Source: RefSeq, a predicted model, not a curated record